AUGUUCUCUCCUUCUCUCCGUAAAUCAGAUCUCUCUCUCUCACUUCUCUCUCUCUUUCUUUCUCUUUUUUUUUUCUCUUACCCAAGCUUCUGUGGCGGACAAACGAUCUCUGUUUCCGGCGUCACUUGAUGUGGCUGGUCUAAAUCCUCUGCCACAUGUUUUAUCUCAUCCGCCUCAGAAACAAUUUAUAUGGACAAGUACACAAAAAAUUCGUUAGUGGACAUGUACACACAAGUUUUGGAGAGCAGGAAAAAUUGGGGAUAAACGUUAGGUUUUUUUGUGUUCAACUUCUAACGAAUCCUACUUACUUUAAUUUCUAUGUACAUGGCAACGUGUAGUCAAUAAGAUCAAAUUGUAUAUGGACUUAUCCAUGUGAACUGGAAAUUACUUUGUAUAU
This is a long non-coding RNA of Eutrema salsugineum, 397 nucleotides long. RefSeq lists it as uncharacterized. The record is from RefSeq and is a predicted model, not a curated record. The transcript is spliced from 2 exons. NCBI's taxonomy places the organism in Eukaryota, Viridiplantae, Streptophyta, Magnoliopsida, Brassicales, Brassicaceae.